CCCAUGCUUGCACUUCAUUUGCCUCCGUUCACAUCGCUGAUUUUGCCCACAGCCCAUCGAAGUGUUUGCCCUGCACUCCAAUGCCCGAGACCUGGAUUGGGGCUCCAUUCAGGGCGCUGCUCUCUGUGAAGUGUCAUUUAUUUCAAUCUCAUUUGAAGCUUAGAUUCCCCAGCUGUAUCGGUAGUGUUUAUUGCUGCCAUAAGCCCCAUGCUGUACAUUGCAUCCUGGCCGCUGCUGGCGGCGUAGAGGCCCAGAGAUCCGUCAACCAAGACUCAUCGAUUCGAUUGGGAGGAUGCUUCGAAAGGAUACAGCGCUGAUCUCAGAUCAAUCUGGGAUAUUUUAGUCUUGUCUUGUGCGUGUCCAGAGCGGCUACAGCGGCGGCAAUUGCGUUCAGUGUGGGACAGUGUACUGUGUGGGCGGACGGACUCUACAUCCAAUCCAUCGGUUCUGGCUGCUGGUCAUCAACUGCUGACGUUUCCAUAUCUAUGGGCGCAUCCACUGUGGAGGCGACUGGCAGCGGCUGGCCAAAGGUCUGCAAUUGCUUGAGCAGUGCCUGCUCUGACACUGGCGGCAGCGACAUCUUUGCUGCAAGGUCCAUCGGUGCGGGCAUCAGCGGGCAUGAGCCCAUUCCCCUGGCUCGGCCCUGGUCGGAGCCCAGCGACUGCAGUUCUUUUUUGUUCUGAUUCAUUUUCGUUGGGGGAGCGCUUCGGAAACUGUUUCGUUCGAGACUGAUUCGACAAUGAAGCAAAAGCCAACUAGAUUCGCAAAGUAAUUUCUCCC
RNAcentral lists this long non-coding RNA (780 nucleotides) under Drosophila guanche. The record is from RNAcentral. Lineage: Eukaryota; Metazoa; Arthropoda; Insecta; Diptera; Drosophilidae.